GGUGCCAGCCUGGAGCACAGAUGGUGGCAGCACCAGUAACCAGCCUUGGAGGUGGCUAAAACAGUGACACUAGCAGCUUUGGAGGCUCUCAACCCAGAGAAGAUGUUGUUAGGUGCUCACCCAAAGGAGGUCAUUUGUAUAGGCGCUGCUGGAGACCCCAAGCUUUCUGGAAGUACUGGAGUCGAGUGUGGAUGACCACUUGGCUGUUCAGCCUACCAGGGGAAAGACGAAAUCUGAGCAUCUGUGUUCAAAUACUGGCCUUUCUGCUCCCUAUCUGUGUGGCCUUGGGUAUAUCGCUUGGCUUCCUUGGCCCUCAGU
Molecule: long non-coding RNA, 318 nt
Organism: Vombatus ursinus (common wombat)
Lineage: Eukaryota; Metazoa; Chordata; Mammalia; Diprotodontia; Vombatidae
Exons: 3
Source: RefSeq, a predicted model, not a curated record